AUUGAACGCUGGCGGCAUGCUUUACACAUGCAAGUCGAACGGCAGCGCGGGCUUCGGCCUGGCGGCGAGUGGCGAACGGGUGUGUAAUACAUCGGAACGUGCCCAGUAGUGGGGGAUAGCUCGGCGAAAGCCGGAUUAAUACCGCAUACGACCUGAGGGUGAAAGCGGGGGAUCUUCGGACCUCGCGCUAUUGGAGCGGCCGAUGGCAGAUUAGCUAGUUGGUGGGGUAAAGGCCUACCAAGGCGACGAUCUGUAGCUGGUCUGAGAGGACGACCAGCCACACUGGGACUGAGACACGGCCCAGACUCCUACGGGAGGCAGCAGUGGGGAAUUUUGGACAAUGGGCGAAAGCCUGAUCCAGCAAUGCCGCGUGUGGGAUGAAGGCCUUCGGGUUGUAAAGCACUUUUGGCGGGAACGAAAAGGACUGUGCCAAUACCACGGUUCGAUGACGGUACCCGCAGAAUAAGCACCGGCUAACUACGUG
RNAcentral lists this ribosomal RNA (484 nucleotides) under uncultured bacterium. Its description in RNAcentral is "partial 16S ribosomal RNA". It matches the Rfam family "Bacterial small subunit ribosomal RNA", at positions 29 to 507 of the family's 1533-position model. The record is from RNAcentral.